GCUAGAUCUUGUGUCUAUUCAACAUAAAAAUCUAUUACAUUAAGCCACAUUGGUGCACACUCCCUAGUGAGAGAAACUAGUCCUUUGCUACAGAGCCACAAAUUCUAAAGUUGGUGACCUUAUUGAUAAUUUUAAAAGAAGAGGCCACAAUUGAAAAGGCACAUAAAGUUUUUGUUAUUGUUUCUCUUAUUUUAUCUUCACAAAAAUUGCUAAUAAUUAUACUGUUGGGAGAUUUGUACUUGGAAGGAUCUUACUUUUUUCCAAGCUUUAACCACCAUAUAACUUUUCGAUCUUUUUUUCUUUUGUGCAUAUGUGAACUGCUGAUAAUGCCUAAUAGUAAAAUACAAAUUACAUUGAGAAUACGAAAAAUACAAAAUAAAGACGGUGACCUUGUCUUUAUAAGAAAGGAGGCAGGUCAAGAUGAUACGUGAAUGAACUUAAAGCCCAUGGCCAUGCACAUUGUGUUGCUUUAAACUAUUUUUAAUUAUUUGUUAUUUGAAUUAAGAGCUUAGAUAUAUUUUUAUGAAAAAUAAGAAACCCGUUGUCAGUUUGGUUUCUCAGUUUAUAAAUGUAAAAUCAUGAACACUCUGGUUAAGUAUUUUUACAACCCAAUACCAACCAACAAAUUGUUAAACCACUAAAAUUAGGUUUGUUUGGUGAACAGCCUUGAUGAGGCCGUAGAGCAAUUAAAUGACCAAACAUAUAGUAAUAUUAUUCUGUUUAUAUAUAAAAUAACCUUUAAUUGUUAUAAAGGGUUGGCAAGGUGAGAUAGAGCAUUGUAGUUAUUCACAUUGGUGCAAGGAUCUAUCCCCGUCAGUUGUCACACUGUUAAUUUUAGCUCUUGUUAUUGAUAAUUCCCUCUUUCUAAUUUAUUUGUGCCUCUUAGUACUGUUUAAUUACAUAUAACACUUGAUUCUAUUUUUUUACAAGCAUGACUUAGUGAUUAUUCCCUUUUUAACUUGUUUGGCAGCACAGAUAAAUAAUGAACUUUGUGAUAGAUUUUCCGUGACUCAUUAUCCCAUGCUAUUUUGGGG
RNAcentral lists this unclassified non-coding RNA (1034 nucleotides) under Hevea brasiliensis (rubber tree). The record is from RNAcentral. Lineage: Eukaryota; Viridiplantae; Streptophyta; Magnoliopsida; Malpighiales; Euphorbiaceae.